AGAAAGACAAACCCUGGGUUUCCGUGUCCAACUUUGACCAUCCGUCUUAUAUGAAAUUUUUUUAUAAUUCGUAUUUUUAUUGUUGCUAGAUGAUAAAACAUGAUUAAUAUUUUAUGCGUGACUUGUCUUUUUAAUUUUUUUCAUAAUUUUUUUAAAUAAGACGGAUGGUCAAACAUUGGACACGGAAACC
RNAcentral lists this microRNA precursor (190 nucleotides) under Oryza glumipatula. Its description in RNAcentral is "MIR812 microRNA precursor family". It matches the Rfam family "MIR812 microRNA precursor family". The record is from Rfam by way of RNAcentral. Lineage: Eukaryota; Viridiplantae; Streptophyta; Magnoliopsida; Poales; Poaceae.